This 253-nucleotide ribosomal RNA is filed under the name uncultured bacterium. RNAcentral describes it as "partial 16S ribosomal RNA". It matches the Rfam family "Bacterial small subunit ribosomal RNA", at positions 524 to 776 of the family's 1533-position model. The record is from RNAcentral.
UACAGAGGGGGCAAGCGUUGUUCGGAAUUACUGGGCGUAAAGGGCGCGUAGGCGGCCUGCUAAGUCGAACGUGAAAUCCCCGGGCUCAACCCGGGAACUGCGUCCGAUACUGGCAGGCUUGAAUCCGGGAGAGGGAUGUGGAAUUCCAGGUGUAGCGGUGAAAUGCGUAGAUAUCUGGAGGAACACCGGUGGCGAAGGCGGCAUCCUGGACCGGCAUUGACGCUGAGGCGCGAAAGCCAGGGGAGCAAACGGG